Molecule: RNA transcript, 708 nt
Organism: Lycium ferocissimum
Lineage: Eukaryota; Viridiplantae; Streptophyta; Magnoliopsida; Solanales; Solanaceae
Exons: 5
Source: RefSeq, a predicted model, not a curated record
GUAUCACUUCCAAAUAAACUCAAAAGUUGCUAUGUUUUACUAUGUCCCAACUGCAAACAAGAAGUGAGAAGUUCAAUAAAAAGAAAGUUUCUGUGUAUGACUUGUAAGCAACAAAAUAUGUUAAUUCCCAGGUGCAGAUUUGAUGUAAAUCUCCAAGAUGCCUCCGGAUCAAUAAUUGGGAUAAUUAUGGACAAAGAAGCAGAAAAAUUAUUAUCCCUUACCACAGAUGAGAUUUACGACCUUGCUUCAAAUGAGAAUAUUCAAAGCAAGCUAAAUCAGAACUUUUAUAUAAUUCAAGUGAAAAAAUCAUUCUCCCGCACUUCUCAAGCAACAUCUGGAAAAUUGUACAUUUUGUCUUGCACUGAAAAAGGAAACAUGGUGCAUUCUCUCCCUGAAUCACCAAAAACUGACAUUGAAGAAGGCAGCAAAAGGAAAAAGAAACAUUUAAUUUCCUUUGAUGAAGAAACAGAAGUACCAACCGAGCGACGUCACUCGCUCAAGCUGAAACAAAAACUGGAGCCAACAACUCCAGUAAAAAAGAAAUAAAGGAUAACCUUUUUUUGCAAUCACUUUUGCGUUUUGCGGAACAAAGUUCUUUUGUAGGGAAAUCAAUUCUCUUUUGAAGCUUGCUUUUGACUUUUUGUCUUGCAUCAAACAAAGGUAAUAAAAAUUACAUUUAUUCAACUAAUCUUAAUUUAUUUUGCCCAA